This 45-nucleotide non-coding RNA is filed under the name Schistosoma haematobium. Lineage: Eukaryota; Metazoa; Platyhelminthes; Trematoda; Strigeidida; Schistosomatidae. The record is from RNAcentral.
AUCCAGCUGAUGUGUCCCAGAUGGGACAAAACGUGCAUCCUGGAU